Molecule: ribosomal RNA, 301 nt
Filed under: uncultured bacterium
Lineage: Bacteria
Description: partial 16S ribosomal RNA
Rfam family: Bacterial small subunit ribosomal RNA
Source: RNAcentral
CAGCAGCCACGGUAAAACCGAGGGUGCAAGCGUUAAUCGGAAUUACUGGGCGUAAAGCGCGCGUAGGUGGUUUGUUAAGUUGGAUGUGAAAUCCCCGGGCUCAACCUGGGAACUGCAUCCAAAACUGGCAAGCUAGAGUAUGGUAGAGGGUGGUGGAAUUUCCUGUGUAGCGGUGAAAUGCGUAGAUAUAGGAAGGAACACCAGUGGCGAAGGCGACCACCUGGACUGAUACUGACACUGAGGUGCGAAAGCGUGGGGAGCAAACAGGAUUAGAUACCCCCGUAGUCCCUGUCUCUUAUAC